Molecule: ribosomal RNA, 301 nt
Filed under: uncultured bacterium
Lineage: Bacteria
Description: partial 16S ribosomal RNA
Rfam family: Bacterial small subunit ribosomal RNA
Source: RNAcentral
CAGCCGCCGCGGUAAUACGUAGGUGGCAAGCGUUGUCCGGAAUUAUUGGGCGUAAAGCGCGCGCAGGCGGAUCAGUCAGUCUGUCUUAAAAGUUCGGGGCUUAACCCCGUGAGGGGAUGGAAACUGCUGAUCUAGAGUAUCGGAGAGGAAAAUGGAAUUCCUAGUGUAGCGGUGAAAUGCGUAGAUAUUAGGAAGAACACCAGUGGCGAAGGCGACUUUCUGGACGAAAACUGACGCUGAGGCGCGAAAGCCAGGGGAGCGAACGGGAUUAGAUACCCCAGUAGUCCCUGUCUCUUAUACA